This 305-nucleotide ribosomal RNA is filed under the name uncultured bacterium. RNAcentral's name for it is "bacterial SSU rRNA". It matches the Rfam family "Bacterial small subunit ribosomal RNA", at positions 336 to 639 of the family's 1533-position model. The record is from RNAcentral.
UUCCUACGGGAGGCAGCAGUGAGGAAUAUUGGUCAAUGGUCGGGAGACUGAACCAGCCAAGCCGCGUGAGGGAGGAAGGUACAGAGUAUCGUAAACCUCUUUUGUCAGGGAACAAAGGCGGGGACGUGUCCCCGGAUGAGUGUACCUGAAGAAAAAGCAUCGGCUAACUCCGUGCCAGCAGCCGCGGUAAUACGGAGGAUGCGAGCGUUAUCCGGAUUUAUUGGGUUUAAAGGGUGCGCAGGCGGCCUGUUAAGUCAGCGGUCAAAGCCCGGGGCUCAACCCCGGUCCGCCGUUGAAACUGGCAG